This 476-nucleotide ribosomal RNA is filed under the name uncultured anaerobic ammonium-oxidizing bacterium. Its description in RNAcentral is "bacterial SSU rRNA". It matches the Rfam family "Bacterial small subunit ribosomal RNA", at positions 365 to 832 of the family's 1533-position model. The record is from RNAcentral.
UUCGCAAUGCCCGAAAGGGUGACGAUGCGACGCCGCGUGAGCGAAGAAGGCCCUAGGGUUGUAAAGCUCUGUCGAGGGUUAUGAAAUAUAGAUGGGUUAAUACCCCAUUUAUUUGACAAAAGCCCAAAAGGAAGCCACGGCUAACUCUGUGCCAGCAGCCGCGGUAAUACAGAGGUGGCGGGCGUUGUUCGGUAUUAUUGGGCGUAAAGAGCACGUAGGUGGUUUUGUAAGUCAGGUGUGAAAGCCUUCUGUUCAAAGGAAGAACGGCAUCUGAAACUGCAGAUCUUGAGUGUAGGAGGGGAGAGUGGAACUUCUGGUGGAGCGGUGAAAUGCGUAGAUAUCAGAAGGAACGUCGGCGGCGAAAGCGACUCUCUGGCCUAUUACUGACACUGAGGUGCGAAAGUUAGGGGAGCAAACGGGAUUAGAUACCCCGGUAGUCCUAACCGUAAACGAUGGGCACUAAGUAGAGGGGUUUU